RNAcentral lists this non-coding RNA (109 nucleotides) under Bacillus sp. (in: firmicutes). RNAcentral describes it as "Bacillus sp. SAM-I sequence". It matches the Rfam family "SAM riboswitch aptamer (S box leader)". Rfam says of the family: The SAM riboswitch is found upstream of a number of genes which code for proteins involved in methionine or cysteine biosynthesis in Gram-positive bacteria. The SAM riboswitch acts at the level of transcription termination control. The predicted structure consists of a complex stem-loop region followed by a single stem loop terminator region. RNAcentral also lists the same sequence under 1 other name. Lineage: Bacteria; Bacillati; Bacillota; Bacilli; Caryophanales; Bacillaceae. The record is from RNAcentral.
UUCUUAUCAAGAGAGGUUGAGAGAAUGGCUCUAUGACACCUCAGCAACCACCGUUUAGACGGAAAGGUGCUAAUUCCUGCAAGUUUGGUGAAAACUUGCAAGAUAAGAA